UACGUAGGGGGCAAGCGUUGUCCGGAAUCAUUGGGCGUAAAGCGCGUGUAGGCGGGUCGGUAAGUCCGCUCUGAAAGCCCGGGGCUCAACCCCGGGAGGCGGGUGGAUACUGUCGACCUCGAGUCCGGAAGAGGCGAGUGGAAUUCCUGGUGUAGCGGUGAAAUGCGCAGAUAUCAGGAGGAACACCAAUGGCGAAGGCAGCUCGCUGGGACGGUACUGACGCUGAGGCGCGAAAGCCAAGGGAGCAAACGGG
Molecule: ribosomal RNA, 253 nt
Filed under: uncultured bacterium
Lineage: Bacteria
Description: partial 16S ribosomal RNA
Rfam family: Bacterial small subunit ribosomal RNA
Source: RNAcentral